AGUUUGACCUGGCUCAGAACGAACGCUGGCGGCAGGCUUAAUACUUGCCACUCGGACGGCUGUAGCAAUACAGCAGUGGCAGACGGGUGAGUAACACGUGGGAACCUACCUAGGGGUACGGAAUAACUCAGGGAAACUUGUGCUAAUACCGUAUACGACCUCAGGGUGAAAGAUUUAUCGCCCCUAGAUGGGCCCGCGCUGGAUUAGCUAGUUGGUGGGGUAAAAGCCUACCAAGGCGACGAUCCAUAGCUGGUCUGAGAGGAUGAUCAGCCACACUGGGACUGAGACACGGCCCAAACUCCUACGGGAGGCAGCAGUAGGGAAUCUUGGACAAUGGGCGAAAGCCUGAUCCAGCCAUGCCGCGUGAGUGAUGAAGGCCUUAGGGUUGUAAAGCUCUUUCGCCAGGGAAGAUAAUGACGGUACCUGGAUAAGAAGCCCCGGCUAACUUCGUGCCAUCAGCCGCGGUAAUACGAAGGGGGCUAGCGUUGUUCGGAAUUACUGGGCGUAAAGCGCA
This 514-nucleotide ribosomal RNA is filed under the name uncultured bacterium. RNAcentral describes it as "bacterial SSU rRNA". It matches the Rfam family "Bacterial small subunit ribosomal RNA", at positions 10 to 569 of the family's 1533-position model. The record is from RNAcentral.